AACGGCCAUACCAUGCUGAAUAUACCGGUUCUCGUUAGAUCACCGAAGUCAAGCAUCAUUGGGCGCGGUCAGUACUUGGGUGGGGGACCACCUGGGAACACUGGG
Molecule: ribosomal RNA, 105 nt
Filed under: Caerostris extrusa
Lineage: Eukaryota; Metazoa; Arthropoda; Arachnida; Araneae; Araneidae
Source: RNAcentral